RNAcentral lists this transfer RNA (32 nucleotides) under Phocoena phocoena (harbor porpoise). Its description in RNAcentral is "partial tRNA-Thr". The record is from RNAcentral. Lineage: Eukaryota; Metazoa; Chordata; Mammalia; Artiodactyla; Phocoenidae.
GAAAAAGGAGAACCUCACUCCUCCCUAAGACU